CCAAGAGGUUGUGAGUUCGAGUCACCCCACGAGCAAGGUGGGGAAUUCUUGGAGGGAAGGAUGCCGAGGGUCUAUUGGAAACAGCCUUUCUACCCCAUGGUAUGAGUAAGAUCUGCGUAUACACUACCUUCCCCAGACCCCACUAGCGGAAUUAUACUGGGUUGUUGUUAUGUAGAUAAGUAGUACACUGGGAGUAAUCUUUUAUUGGAAAAUAGGUGAGAACAAAGACACAAAGAAAAAGUAAAAGCAUUCUAAAAUAUCUAACAUGUACAGAAAAGAGACUUUUCUCUGUGCCUUUCUGCAACUAAGCUGUAAUUGACUUUUGAGGGACAAAGGCGAACACACAUAAUAUACAAUGUAAAAUCAAUAAUGGUGUCAGCGAGCAUUGGAGAGACGGAAGUGUUUGGCUAAAAAGUUACUCGAACACGUAUAUAGCUCUAAAAACAAUCAAAAAUAAUUUGAGUCAAUCAGAAUCAAAUGUAAUAUGGUCUAGAGAUUGUGGAAUGACUAAGGUAUAAGAACAAUAAGAUAAAUAGUAGAAUUAGCACAAGAGAGAUAGAGAGAAUAAGAUAGAGAGAAAGUUAUAUAUUAUAAGUAAUGAAAUACACAUGAGUCUUUUACAAAGGGAAGUUCCCCUUUAUAUACUAAGGGACCUUCCUCGAAAUAAUAUAAAGAAAGUACAAAAGUUGGUGGCCUCCAUAUACGAGUGUCAGAGCUUGAUGUGAUGUUGCAGUAAGUCAUGUCACUCAGUCCGUUUGUUGACUGGGUCGGCCUCACUAAGAGCGCUUUCUUUGGUGGGGCCGUAUGUGGAUAAUGUAUGUACGUGAGGAACCAAAUUUGCCCAAUACAGGAAGGAUGGGAAAUCAACAUAGGACAGGUAGUGCAUUUCAGAAACGAGUGGAGUUAGGAAUUUUCAUGGUGAAGGAUAUUUUUGAAAUUAUAAGAAAGUGUGAGGGAAUAGCAAUGUAAAUACUUGGUCAAAUUUAAAGAGCUUUUAACUAAAAGCACUUUUGGUGUUUGCCAAACAUCAAAACAAGUCGAAAAGUGCUUUUAAGCUGGUUUAACCAGUUUUUAAGCCAAUCUAAACACCCUCUAAAUGAAAGCCUGAUAAAAAACACUUGAUAAGCAUAGAAGGAAAGUCGGUGGAUACAGCACUGUACCAAAAGCUAGUUGGCAAACUUACCUAUCAAAUGCAUGGCAUGAUAUAGCAUUUGCUGCGAGUCAAAGUCAAUUAUGAAUUCACCCUAUGAAGAGAAUCUUGCCACAGUCUACCAUAUCCUGAUAUACUUGAAGAAUUCUCUGGGAAAAUACUAUAUUUCGGAAGAAAUGAACAUGUAUUGAAGCAUACAUACUGACUGAGCAGGACCCAUUUUGGGAAGAAAGUCCACAUUAGAUUAUUAUACAUUCAUAUGGAAAAACCUAGUAACUUGAAGAAGCAUAUAACAAAAUUAGCCUGCGUCAGUACUAAAGCAAAAUAUAGAUCUACGGCACAUGGAAUAUGUAAACUGGUGUGGCUUAAGUGAAUUUUGGAGGAACUAAGAAGACUAUGCCUAUGACAAGAGGGACUUGCUCUGAUGGUAAGCAACCCCACUUCCAACCAAGAGGUUGUGAGUUCAAGUCUCCCCAAGAGCAAAGGUGGGUAGUUCUUGGAGGGAAGGAUGCCGGGGGUCUAUUUGAAAACAGCCUCUCUACCCUAGGG
This 1699-nucleotide long non-coding RNA is filed under the name Nicotiana benthamiana. Its description in RNAcentral is "long non-coding RNA (NBEN_LNC018507)". The record is from RNAcentral. Lineage: Eukaryota; Viridiplantae; Streptophyta; Magnoliopsida; Solanales; Solanaceae.